This 492-nucleotide ribosomal RNA is filed under the name uncultured bacterium. RNAcentral's name for it is "partial 16S ribosomal RNA". It matches the Rfam family "Bacterial small subunit ribosomal RNA", at positions 29 to 507 of the family's 1533-position model. The record is from RNAcentral.
AGUGAACGCUGGCGGUAGGCCUAACACAUGCAAGUCGAACGGCAGCACAGUAAGAGCUUGCUCUUACGGGUGGCGAGUGGCGGACGGGUGAGGAAUACAUCGGAAUCUACUUUUUCGUGGGGGAUAACGUAGGGAAACUUACGCUAAUACCGCAUACGACCUACGGGUGAAAGCAGUGGAUCUUCGGACCUUGCGCGAUUGAAUGAGCCGAUGUCGGAUUAGCUAGUUGGCGGGGUAAAGGCCCACCAAGGCAACGAUCCGUAGCUGGUCUGAGAGGAUGAUCAGCCACACUGGAACUGAGACACGGUCCAGACUCCUACGGGAGGCAGCAGUGGGGAAUAUUGGACAAUGGGCGCAAGCCUGACCCAGCCAUACCGCGUGGGUGAAGAAGGCCUUCGGGUUGUAAAGCCCUUUUGUUGGGAAAGAAAAGCAGCAGGUUAAUACCCCGCUGUUCUGACGGUACCCAAAGAAUAAGCACCGGCUAACUUCGUG